UUAAGCGACUAAGCGUACACGGUGGAUGCCCUGGCAGUCAGAGGCGAUGAAGGACGUGCUAAUCUGCGAUAAGCGUCGGUAAGGUGAUAUGAACCGUUAUAACCGGCGAUUUCCGAAUGGGGAAACCCAGUGUGWUUCGWCACACUAUCAUUAACUGAAUCCAUAGGUUAAUGAGGCGAACCGGGGGAACUGAAACAUCUAAGUACCCCGAGGAAAAGAAAUCAACCGAGAUUCCCCCAGUAGCGGCGAGCGAACGGGGAGCAGCCCAGAGCCUGAAUCAGUGUGUGUGUUAGUGGAAGCGUCUGGAAAGGCGCGCGAUACAGGGUGACAGCCCCGUACACAAAAAUGCACAURCUGUGAGCUCGAUGAGUAGGGCGGGACACGUGGUAUCCUGUCUGAAUAUGGGGGGACCAUCCUCCAAGGCUAAAUACUCCUGACUGACCGAUAGUGAACCAGUACCGUGAGGGAAAGGCGAAAAGAACCCCGGCGAGGGGAGUGAAAAAGAACCUGAAACCGUGUACGUACAAGCAGUGGGAGCACAGAGCAAUCUGUGUGACUGCGUACCUUUUGUAUAAUGGGUCAGCGACUUAUAUUCUGUAGCAAGGUUAACCGAAUAGGGGAGCCGAAGGGAAACCGAGUCUUAACUGGGCGUUAAGUUGCAGGGUAUAGACCCGAAACCCGGUGAUCUAGCCAUGGGCAGGUUGAAGGUUGGGUAACACUAACUGGAGGACCGAACCGACUAAUGUUGAAAAAUUAGCGGAUGACUUGUGGCUGGGGGUGAAAGGCCAAUCAAACCGGGAGAUAGCUGGUUCUCCCCGAAAGCUAUUUAGGUAGCGCCUCGUGAAUUCAUCUCCGGGGGUAGAGCACUGUUUCGGCAAGGGGGUCAUCCCGACUUACCAACCCGAUGCAAACUGCGAAUACCGGAGAAUGUUAUCACGGGAGACACACGGCGGGUGCUAACGUCCGUCGUGAAGAGGGAAACAACCCAGACCGCCAGCUAAGGUCCCAAAGUCAUGGUUAAGUGGGAAACGAUGUGGGAAGGCCCAGACAGCCAGGAUGUUGGCUUAGAAGCAGCCAUCAUUUAAAGAAAGCGUAAUAGCUCACUGGUCGAGUCGGCCUGCGCGGAAGAUGUAACGGGGCUAAACCAUGCACCGAAGCUGCGGCAGCGACGCUKAUGCGUUGUUGGGUAGGGGAGCGUUCUGUAAGCCUGYGAAGGUGUGCUGUGAGGCAUGCUGGAGGUAUCAGAAGUGCGAAUGCUGACAUAAGUAACGAUAAAGCGGGUGAAAAGCCCGCUCGCCGGAAGACCAAGGGUUCCUGUCCAACGUUAAUCGGGGCAGGGUGAGUCGACCCCUAAGGCGAGGCCGAAAGGCGUAGUCGAUGGGAAACAGGUUAAUAUUCCUGUACUUGGUGUUACUGCGAAGGGGGGACGGAGAAGGCUAUGUUGGCCGGGCGACGGUUGUCCCGGUUUAAGCGUGUAGGCUGGUUUUCCAGGCAAAUCCGGAAAAUCAAGGCUGAGGCGUGAUGACGAGGCACUACGGUGCUGAAGCAACAAAUGCCCUGCUUCCAGGAAAAGCCUCUAAGCAUCAGGUAACAUCAAAUCGUACCCCAAACCGACACAGGUGGUCAGGUAGAGAAUACCAAGGCGCUUGAGAGAACUCGGGUGAAGGAACUAGGCAAAAUGGUGCCGUAACUUCGGGAGAAGGCACGCUGAUAUGUAGGUGAAGUCCCUCGCGGAUGGAGCUGAAAUCAGUCGAAGAUACCAGCUGGCUGCAACUGUUUAUUAAAAACACAGCACUGUGCAAACACGAAAGUGGACGUAUACGGUGUGACGCCUGCCCGGUGCCGGAAGGUUAAUUGAUGGGGUYAGCGCAAGCGAAGCUCUUGAUCGAAGCCCCGGUAAACGGCGGCCGUAACUAUAACGGUCCUAAGGUAGCGAAAUUCCUUGUCGGGUAAGUUCCGACCUGCACGAAUGGCGUAAUGAUGGCCAGGCUGUCUCCACCCGAGACUCAGUGAAAUUGAACUCGCUGUGAAGAUGCAGUGUACCCGCGGCAAGACGGAAAGACCCCGUGAACCUUUACUAUAGCUUGACACUGAACAUUGAGCCUUGAUGUGUAGGAUAGGUGGGAGGCUUWGAAGUGUGGACGCCAGUCUGCAUGGAGCCGACCUUGAAAUACCACCCUUUAAUGUUUGAUGUUCUAACGUUGACCCGURAUCCGGGUUGCGGACAGUGUCUGGUGGGUAGUUUGACUGGGGCGGUCUCCUCCUAAAGAGUAACGGAGGAGCACGAAGGUUGGCUAAUCCUGGUCGGACAUCAGGAGGUUAGUGCAAUGGCAUAAGCCAGCUUGACUGCGAGCGUGACGGCGCGAGCAGGUGCGAAAGCAGGUCAUAGUGAUCCGGUGGUUCUGAAUGGAAGGGCCAUCGCUCAACGGAUAAAAGGUACUCCGGGGAUAACAGGCUGAUACCGCCCAAGAGUUCAUAUCGACGGCGGUGUUUGGCACCUCGAUGUCGGCUCAUCACAUCCUGGGGCUGAAGUAGGUCCCAAGGGUAUGGCUGUUCGCCAUUUAAAGUGGUACGCGAGCUGGGUUUAGAACGUCGUGAGACAGUUCGGUCCCUAUCUGCCGUGGGCGCUGGAGAAYUGAGGGGGGCUGCUCCUAGUACGAGAGGACCGGAGUGGACGCAUCACUGGUGUUCGGGUUGUCAUGCCAAUGGCACUGCCCGGUAGCUAAAUGCGGAAGAGAUAAGUGCUGAAAGCAUCUAAGCACGAAACUUGCCCCGAGAUGAGUUCUCCCUGACYCYUURAGRGUCCUGAAGGAACGUUGAAGACGACGACGUUGAUAGGCCGGGUGUGUAAGCGCAGCGAUGCGUUGAGCUAACCGGUACUAAUGAACCGUGAGGCUUAACCUU
Molecule: ribosomal RNA, 2904 nt
Filed under: Escherichia coli
Lineage: Bacteria; Pseudomonadati; Pseudomonadota; Gammaproteobacteria; Enterobacterales; Enterobacteriaceae
Description: bacterial LSU rRNA
Source: RNAcentral